UUUUUUUCUUCAUAUGUUCGAUCACUUGUAUGUGAUUGAUGAAGAUGAAAAAGAAAAGAAGAUGAACGAAGAAAAAAAAAAGUCUAGAUGGGCCCGUGUCCUACGUGGCAGAUUGAUCGUAUGCGUCCUGAAACCCUCAUAUCAUCCCUACAUUUGUCCUUAAAAUUUGUCGUCAAUAUAAGGGUUCGCGGACAGUCCAAAGAUAUUGAAAUUAUACGAGGGCUUCGAUUAAAUUACUUUUUUCUUUUCCUCAUGUCCGAUCACUGACCGAAUACAUCUAUGAAUGUUUGAUGAUGAUUUGAGGAUGCCAGAUGUAGAUGCUCUAAAUAGAUAGAUACAUCAAAAUUACUUUAGUGAGCUAAAACAUUUUUAUACUGUAUUUGUUCGAGGAGGAGUGGCUAAUUUGUGCGUGCCACCUUGAUUAACUAGUACUACUAUGUCCGCUUUGGAUUCGGUCAUCAUCGGCUUGACAGUUUGUUUACCGAUCCUAGACCACAGUAGCAAGUUGUAGAGUGAUUCCGUUCCAGUCUUAUCACCUCCACCCGCCCUUCCUUCCUUGGGCCGUUCUACCGUGUCCACACGCUUUUUGGAAUUUUGUUCGCACAGAUCAACCAUAUACUUGCUGAUCUUUUCUUCCAGGAAAAAACAAAUAUACCUGGUGACCUUUUCCAGAAAAAUAAUAUACUUUGGUGGUGAUUGCCGGUCCUUUUUUCUUUUGAUUAAGGCCGCUAGGCGAGCAUCGAAUUCUGUCGUACCAGCAGAAAGCAGAGGCCUUCAUUUCCAUGCCUGGCUUAAAAAAUGGUGCGUGCGCUCCUUAAAUUCCUUGCUGGCUCUUUCUUUACGUUGUCCUUGGACCUUGGGGAGGGUUGUUGAGACUAGCUAGACUGGCGACUGAACUCUCCGAAGAACAUGCACGGCAGCGAGAAACCAAAAUGGAAGGACGGACGGAGCAGAAAAUAUCUAGCAAAAGGAAACCUAUAUACCAUAAGAAAAGCAAGAUUUGGUUUCUUUUUCUUUUGUUUGGAUAGACAUGCAUUCUGUUAUGGAUUUCGCCAAAAAUCGCAUACGACGUGCGUGUAUGCAUACGCUUGUCGAGGCUCAAGGCAGUCGCUAAAAGUUGGCACAUGAGACAAAGCAGCAGAUAAACAGCGGUGGACUUCUUUGCAUCACAUAUCAUCUGGACUGCGUCUGAUCUAAGUGGGUGUAGGUGUUGGGGUAAAAGCUCUCAACUAACGCGAGGGAAUUAGUUAAAUAGAUGCAAAGAAGUCAACACCACGGAAGAACACAGGCGUAACGAAAAGAGAAUGAACAAACAGGGAGGUGAAGAUUUGCGCGUAGUAGCUCAUAGAAUUCAGUAGCAUCUCAUCGUAGAUCUGGAUUUACAAAUUUACAUACGUAUUAUUUCCCAGAAAAAGAGAGAGGAAAAGUAGCAACAACCGAAGAAGAAGAAGAAGAACUAAAGAGUCCCAAACGGAGUCUAGCUAGAAGCCUCAGCCCUCGAUCGAGAAGGCACGCACAACUCGACCACCCAACAGCACAACACACAUGCACACAACCCUGCACCGGCCACCACCCCUCAAGAAACGGGACAAGACCACGCUAAAGAUUAAGCUAUAACGGCCACGAGCUCGUGGAUCAGACGACGACGGCGUAGUAGACGGGCGUGAGGCCCCUGUCGUCCCCGCCGGCGAGCGCGCCGAGGAGGCGGCGGAAGGCGGCGACGGGGCAGGGGAUGCGGAGCGGGCCGCGGCGCGCGUAGCCGUACUCCUGCGCGGCCCGUCGGAGCAGCUCGGCGAUGGNNNNN
RNAcentral lists this long non-coding RNA (1804 nucleotides) under Hordeum vulgare. RNAcentral describes it as "long non-coding RNA (HVUL_LNC005447)". Lineage: Eukaryota; Viridiplantae; Streptophyta; Magnoliopsida; Poales; Poaceae. The record is from RNAcentral.